CGUGGUGCCUGUGCGGCACCGGCUCGGUGUGUGAGGGGUGGGAGGUCGGUGUUUCUGCCUCUCCGUUACCGAUAGCCCCGGCUCGCUGCCGCGCUUUGUGUCUGCGGCAGUUGAAGGACCUGGGAGGGGAACUACGGAGAUUGGUAUAGCGGGGACGCAGCGCGGUGUCUGAGCGCCAGGCAGGGCCCGGGCGGCGGUCGCGCCUCCGGUAGCGCCAUGGCUAGCCGGUGCUAUGGGUGUGCGUCCAAGUUCUCUGUCUUCAAGAAAGAGUGUGGAUGCAAGAACUGUGGACGGUCGUUCUGCUCAGGCUGCCUUAGCUUCAGUGCUGCUGUUCCCCGCUGUGGAAGCACUCAGCAGAAGGUGUGCAAGCAGUGUCACGGAAAACUAACUGGAGAUGGAUCUCAAAGCAGUUCAGCAAAAUGGUCGCCACCAGAAAACUACAAAAAGCGUGUAGCAGCUUUUGAGGCUAAGCAAAACCAGCUGAAAGAACAACGGAAGGCAGCUGCAAAAACCCCAGGUCAAGCAGGUUCCAGAUACCAGGGGCUCUCAAAAGAGGAUAGAGCUAUUGCAGAGAGACUGGAGAGGCUCAGGGAGGAAAGGAGACCGAAGUCCAUCCCUACUCAGGCUGAGAUCGAAGCUAGGCUGGCUGCCCUGAAGGAGGACUGCCGGGGACCUGUUCCAUCCACACAGGAAAUGGAGGACCGGUUGGCUGUCCUGCAGGGGAGAGAUCCACCUUCCCAGGCUCCCAGACCUGUACCCCAGCCUCCUGAUACCAGAAGUCUGGUCCAGCAGACAGAUGACCUGUUAACUCAACUGUCUGAGGAAGUUGCCAUUGAUGAGCGUUACAGACCAAGAGUCCAACCUCAAGCUGUUGGUAGCCAAAGUUUGAAUGAUCUCAAUCGGGAAAGUGAAGAUUGUAAUUGCUAUGCAAAUCUGGACCCAAAACAGCUAGAGGAAGAGAAGAAUAAACUUCUGGCAGAAGCUGCUGCUGAGCUGUGGGAAGAGAACACUAGGCAGGAAAAGAUCCUACAAGUUGCCAAGAGACUGGCAGCGCUCAGAGGCGAGGACCCAGAGAAAGUUACACUGGAAACCUAUAACCUCCCUGACAGUGAUGAGGAAGUGGCUGAGGAGGAAGCCAUUCGCAGAGUGCUAAAACAGCUCACAGAGGAAGCAGCCCUGGAUGAAGCAAGUGGAUUCAAUAUUCCUCCAGAUCAGACCACCCAACCAGGACCCUUGCAACAGAGCGUGCAUAAGAAAGCAAAGCAAAAGAGCCAGACUCCAACCACCACAGCUCUUGCCAGGGCAGAUGACAGCGAUGAGGAUGAGUUACCCUGGUGCUGUAUCUGCAAUGAAGAUGCGACUUUGCGCUGCCAUGGCUGCGACGGAGACCUCUACUGCCAGCGCUGUUUUCGGGAAGGCCAUGAUGAGUUUGACCUGAAGGACCACCACACCUCCCGCUAUCAUCUUCCUUGCAAGUAGAAGUGAUCACACUCUUCAUGGGCAGAAAAGGAGAUGGAGAAUGGGAAAAGAGAGGAGUCGGCCAGAUGGGAAGAGUCCAAGUGGAUUUGCAGCCAAAAUGGGUGAUGUUUUGGACAGUUAAAGGAUGUGCUGUAAUCUGAGAGAGGCUUGGAGGGUGCGUGACUCUGUCCUCACAACUACAACCAGAGAAGGUUUUGCUGUGCAUGCUUGGGGAUAAAUGAGGACUGGAUGUGAGGAGGUGGAUACAAGUCUAUAAAUACAGAUGUGGGCGGAAAGAAGUCUUCAUGAGCUCCUGAGAACUGUAUUCAGUGCUCCUCAGCCAGUAUGGAAGUUCCUAGGAGAAACUAAAGGAGGGACAUCUUGUUCUGUUCCCCAGGUUAACAUGCCCUUUAAGAAUCAGGAAAAUGUACAGUUUAGCUCCCUGCUGUGUGCGUAGAUCUGGAAGGAGUGGAGACUUCAAACCACUGGUACAAAGUUCACAAACUUGGUGAUGUUUCUCAAUAACAGUAAGUUCUAAACAUAUUCUGAAGUGAUGUUGCUGAUCCUGGUUUUUGUGGGGAAAACAGACGUUUCCUUGUAACCAAAGCUGGGUGUUCCAUGUGGGCAAGGUCAUUUCUUCUGAGGAUUGGUGACUCUCCGGAGGCCUUUCAAUCGACUAAGCAGUUCUGUAAUGAAGUCCUACAAUGAGAAUUGGUUGAAGAAGGAUACCAUGUUAAUUCCAGUUUUCACCAGCCCAAAGAGUACUAUGACACAUGCAUUAUUCCCACAUUUGCCUUCAUGUUGAGCAGAAACCAGAAUUUUGACAUCUAUUGAGCAAACCUAUCUUUUAGCUUAGGAAAGGAGACCUUUUAAUGGAUGAAACAGGUCUAAAAGCCCCUCCACUUCCCCUGGCUUGCUCUGGAGAAGCCAUGUUUACUUUCUCCCCUGGAGCCAGCCUACCCCUCUUCAUCCCAGAUGCAUGCUUCUUCCACCUUGAGAUGACCUCAGGAUGCUGUUGUCCUCUGUUAGGUUCCACUGCUUCCUGUUGCCACCAUAACCUCCUGCCCACUUCUGCUGCCCUCCCGAUCUAGAGCAAAGCAAGCUGUCCCUCUUGUUGAGCCUGUAAAACUCCAUGUUGUGGAUUGCAAACCAUCCUGGAGCUGUGCCAGUGCUACAAGGAAGUGGCUGGCAGAGAAGAGCUGGAGCAAAACACACGUAGGACUAAUGAUAACCUGAAGCAGGGGUUGAGAACAGGCAGAGCAGAUAGAUGAGCAGUUAAUGGAGAUAAACCCUGACUACUUUGCUGACACAGCCAAGGACUAUGAACUAAACUGGACCAUCUGGUUAUUCCAAGCAGAAGUCAAUAUGACUAGUGCAAACUUUACCCUCUGCUUGACAAGUAAUAUCACCAUAAAGGAGUGUGCAGCCUUUCUUCACCCAAAGAGAUAGCUACAUAUCCAUGCAAUUAGGCAAGAUCACUGGAAGUAUUGCAGCUUGUUACCCUUGGUGCUGCGUGGAAGCCCACCUUCCUCACUUGGGUGAUCAGAGGUUGCCUGCCACAGCGUGCUCUGGUAGUAAAUGCUGAGGAUCAUUAUACAUACCUUUUCAGUCAGUCCCUUCAGAGGAAACCAGUUUGUUUCCUGUGUCUGCUUUCUGCAAAUAGGCUGUGUGGUCUUUCAAGGGGACUGGAUUCAAGAUCACCAAGGUGAAAGUACGUAUUUUUGCCGAUGGGGCAGCAGCAACUGUUUGUAGUUAGCAAGUACUAUGUUGUCUGUGAGACAUUUUCAUGGUUCAUGAAUCAGUAGAGCAAACUCUAUUCAGUUAUCUCUCUGGGAAUGUGGGCUUCUUGCCUGAGAUCCAAAAUUCUGACACCCUGAAAACUAUUUCUCUAUUGCCAGCCUUCUCUGCUGAACCCCUGCUAGGAGACCGACUGUAAUGACUGCUACAGCUGAGUUUAAUUUCAAUGGUAGUUGUGCAUCCGCCUCCUUUCCUGUAUGUUCAUUACUGUACAGCUAUAUAGGCUCAACAAGAUGUGGAGACUGAUAAAUGACAUCCAAGUCACAUGCCGUGCACGUGACUGAAGCAGUGAUGGGGGACCCCAUUUUGCACAAUGCAGUGCAGGCAAUUGCUGUGUGAUGUGUGCACUACACUGCAAAGGAUUUGGCUCCACUCCUUUGGGCAUUGUGACAGCUUGUGGGAUUUUUUUUAACUCUCUAACUCAAAACCCAUACUUGUAAAGUUCACAUGGGAAAAAAAACACAUGUAAAACUAACUUACAUGGCCACUGCUCAGCAAUUACCUGCCAAAUCCAAUCUCAGGACCAUCCUACGUUCUUGUCACUCGUAACACUAGAGUGGUUUAAGCUAAGAAUGCAUUCAGUUAAGAGUGUGCAAGAUGGUUAUGUGAGCUGUAUCACUGUCUAUGGCUUUUCUACACUGAGACCACGUAGCAACUCAGCCUGGUCAGCUCAGGAUGUCCAAAACAUGGAAUGAACUUUCUUUGGCUGUAAAGCAUAAUCCCUUAUUUGCUCCACUGCUCUGCCUGCAGCUCGCCCAUGUAAAUUUACAUGUAUUUUUCUAAGACAGCCAAAUAAAGUGGCAAACACCUCUCAUUAGGAAUUAAACAAAUAUGCAGCAUCAUGUUAGGCACAGUAAUAUCUUGGCUAUUCAGCUAAGCAGCAACAGACUCUUGCAGCACAGUAUAACAUACAUAUAUAUAUUGAUGGUGCUUCACUCACCUCUGUCGGGCUGGAGCACUCAUGGAGGAUUUCCUAAAAGCCAAGGAGGAGUCAUUUUAGUAUUUUAUGAGUUGACCUAUUCUCCCCUCCCUACAAAAAGGGUAUAUAAUCUUACUACGUUUGGCAGGCUAAGACACAGGGAAUCAGCAUGCAACGCUGUAUACACAUAUUCUGUAACCCACACACCACUGCUUCUCUUUAUGAAAGAAGUCCCUAACUUAAAAUCACCAAGUCCCUCUAUCUGACCUGUAGUUUUAAUUUUUGUUCUUCAUUAGGGACCUCCAGGAGAUCUUCGAGAUCAAUUUGUGGUUCAGGAGCUGCUGCCUCUGUUUCCUCUCUUAGCUAAAAAGAAAAAAAAAUACACAGUUAAUAAACCUUCAAACUUCUAAGAACUCUAGAGGCCAUCUUUGAAGAACUGAGCAGCCGAGAAGGAGCUAGUUACAAUAAAAUCAUGCUGCAAAGUUGAGGUUAAGAUAUAAAUCAUCUCAAAAUAAGGAGGUUCUUACAAAGAGGGCAUGGAUUCCAUCCCCUCUGUGGUAUCUGCAACAGCCACACAUCCUGAUGUUCACAUUCUUCAUCUUUUCCCACCUCAACACUUGAUACUGCUGCUCAGGGAUCACGGUCCAUCAUGAGAAGACUCUUUCAAGAAUAUCCAGCUGCAAUUGCCAACUGCAAUGCAGUGUAAGCCAGCCUGGGAGAACCCACAUCUAUGACGAGUGCGCACAAGGGUUCACCAAACAGAAAUCCAGCAGGCUUAAUCCUAGAGAUGCACAACUAAUACAAAGAGAUUUUAGGGUUUUAGGCUAUAUACAUUCACAUAGUUGAUAUUUGUACUAAGGCUUUUUGCAGUAAAAGAGAGAAAAACAAUUACGCUUU
RNA transcript from Grus americana (Whooping crane), 5071 nucleotides. It is a transcript of the gene named zinc finger FYVE-type containing 19, with no coding region annotated. NCBI's taxonomy places the organism in Eukaryota, Metazoa, Chordata, Aves, Gruiformes, Gruidae. The record is from RefSeq and is a predicted model, not a curated record. The transcript has 12 exons.